CACCCAUGUGGCCUUUUGUGAAAUAUAAACACACACACACACACACACACACACACACACACACACACAGACACACACAAGAUAAGGACAGACCUCUGAUACUGUUCAAUACAAAGAGGACAAAACGAAGACCAUACCAGUGCAGUGUACUGGUACACAGAGGCCAGAAAUACAUAUUCUCAUGUAACAACCAAAAGAACACCUUGUGCACUGCACUCAGAGAGAGUACAGUCUAAAAAACA
Molecule: long non-coding RNA, 242 nt
Organism: Etheostoma cragini (Arkansas darter)
Lineage: Eukaryota; Metazoa; Chordata; Actinopteri; Perciformes; Percidae
Exons: 2
Source: RefSeq, a predicted model, not a curated record